RNAcentral lists this ribosomal RNA (1928 nucleotides) under Eucnemidae sp. UPOL RK0351. RNAcentral's name for it is "SSU rRNA". It matches the Rfam family "Eukaryotic small subunit ribosomal RNA". Lineage: Eukaryota; Metazoa; Arthropoda; Insecta; Coleoptera; Eucnemidae. The record is from RNAcentral.
UUGUCUCAAAGAUUAAGCCAUGCAUGUCUCAGUACAAGCCAAAAUAAGGUGAAACCGCGAAAGGCUCAUUAAAUCAGUUAUGGUUCCUUAGAUCGUACCCACAUUUACUUGGAUAACUGUGGUAAUUCUAGAGCUAAUACAUGCAAACAGAGCUCCGACCGGAGACGGAAGGAGCGCUUUUAUUAGAUCAAAACCAAUCGGCGGCGGAUGCUCGCGUGUCUGUCGUCGUCUAUUCUGGUGAAUCUGAAUAACUUUUUGCUGAUCGCAUGGUCUCGUACCGGCGACGCAUCUUUCAAAUGUCUGCCUUAUCAACUGUCGAUGGUAGGUUCUGUGCCUACCAUGGUCGUAACGGGUAACGGGGAAUCAGGGUUCGAUUCCGGAGAGGGAGCCUGAGAAACGGCUACCACAUCCAAGGAAGGCAGCAGGCGCGCAAAUUACCCACUCCCGGCACGGGGAGGUAGUGACGAAAAAUAACGAUACGGGACUCAUCCGAGGCCCCGUAAUCGGAAUGAGUACACUCUAAAUCCUUUAACGAGGAUCAAUUGGAGGGCAAGUCUGGUGCCAGCAGCCGCGGUAAUUCCAGCUCCAAUAGCGUAUAUUAAAGUUGUUGCGGUUAAAAAGCUCGUAGUCGAAUCUGUGUCCCGCGCCGCCGGUUCAUCGUUCGCGGUGUUUAACUGGCGUGUCCGCGGGACGUCCUGCCGGUGGGCUUAGCCGAGUGUGUGUUAUAUGCGUUACGUUUGUGCGCUUCGCGCGUACGGCUUUCGUAUGUGCGCGCAUGAGGCGGCCCAACUCGAAAUCCCGCCGCGGUGCUCUUCGUUGAGUGUCGAGGCGGGCCGGCACUUUUACUUUGAACAAAUUAGAGUGCUUAAAGCAGGCUACAAUUUCGCCUGAAUACUGUGUGCAUGGAAUAAUGGAAUAGGACCUCGGUUCUAUUUUGUUGGUUUUCGGAACCCCGAGGUAAUGAUUAAUAGGAACGGAUGGGGGCAUUCGUAUUGCGACGUUAGAGGUGAAAUUCUUGGAUCGUCGCAAGACGGACAGAAGCGAAAGCAUUUGCCAAAAACGCUUUCAUUGAUCAAGAACGAAAGUUAGAGGUUCGAAGGCGAUCAGAUACCGCCCUAGUUCUAACCAUAAACGAUGCCAGCUAGCGAUCCGCCGACGUUCCUCCGAUGACACGGCGGGCAGCUUCCGGGAAACCAAAGCUUUUGGGUUCCGGGGGAAGUAUGGUUGCAAAGCUGAAACUUAAAGGAAUUGACGGAAGGGCACCACCAGGAGUGGAGCCUGCGGCUUAAUUUGACUCAACACGGGAAACCUCACCAGGCCCGGACACCGGAAGGAUUGACAGAUUGAUAGCUCUUUCUUGAUUCGGUGGGUGGUGGUGCAUGGCCGUUCUUAGUUGGUGGAGCGAUUUGUCUGGUUAAUUCCGAUAACGAACGAGACUCUACCCUGCUAAAUAGGCGUAUUUCCGACAUCUCGAAGGCCCGCCGGCCGUUUUUCUCGCUUCCGGUUUCGGCCGGGGCGGUGACAGUCGUGCGCGGUUUUUACUGUCGGCGUACAAACAAAUCUUCUUAGAGGGACAGGCGGCUUCUAGCCGCACGAGAUUGAGCAAUAACAGGUCUGUGAUGCCCUUAGAUGUUCUGGGCCGCACGCGCGCUACACUGAAGGAAUCAGCGUGUCCUCCCUGACCGAGAGGUCCGGGAAACCCGUUGAAACUCCUUCGUGCUAGGGAUUGGGGCUUGCAAUUGUUCCCCAUGAACGAGGAAUUCCCAGUAAACGCGAGUCAUAAGCUCGCGUUGAUUACGUCCCUGCCCUUUGUACACACCGCCCGUCGCUACUACCGAUUGAAUGAUUUAGUGAGGUCUUCGGACCGGUACGCGGUGGCGUUUCGAUGUCACCGAUGCUGCUGGGAAGAUGACCAAACUUGAUCAUUU